GGAAAGCCAGGGUGCCAAGAAGAGUGAACUGUCUCAAUAAGGCUACCAGGUUGUAGGCAGGAUUGGGGGCAGGGUCACAGACACUGGCUCAUCAUGGUGUCAGUUUUAGGCUCCCAACUUGGAAUGCUCGGAUGGAAAUGGUGGACACAACAGAGACAGCGUUGAGCCUACUGGGGCCAUGGGAAGGGACCAAAGAGCCUGCUUCUGCCCUGUACUCCAUAAGAUAAAUGUAUAUGUCCCUUCUCUAA
This 248-nucleotide long non-coding RNA is filed under the name Rattus norvegicus (Norway rat). Its description in RNAcentral is "long non-coding RNA NONRATT010698". Lineage: Eukaryota; Metazoa; Chordata; Mammalia; Rodentia; Muridae. The record is from RNAcentral.